CCUACGGGAGGCAGCAGUGAGGAAUAUUGGUCAAUGGGCGCGAGCCUGAACCAGCCACGUCGCGUGAGGGAAGACGGUCCUAUGGAUUGUAAACCUCGUUUGUCGGGGAGCAAAAGACGCCACGCGUGUCGUUCCGAGAUUACCCGAAGAAAAAGCAUCGGCUAACCCCGGGCCAGCACCCGCGGUACUAUGGAGGAUGCGAGCGUUAUCCGGAUUUAUUGGGUUUAACGGGUGCGCAGGCGGAAGAUCAAGUCAGCGGUAAAAUUGAGAGGCGCAACCUCUUCGAGCAGUUGAAACUGGUGUUCUUGAGUGAGUGAGAAGUGUGCGGAAUGCGUGGUGUAGCGGUGAAAUGCAUAGAUAUAACGAAGAACUCCGGUUGCGAAGGCAGCAUACCGGCGCUCAACUGACGCUCAGGCACGAAAGUGUGGGUAUCGAACAGGAUUAGAUACCCUGGUAGUC
Molecule: ribosomal RNA, 459 nt
Filed under: uncultured bacterium
Lineage: Bacteria
Description: partial 16S ribosomal RNA
Rfam family: Bacterial small subunit ribosomal RNA
Source: RNAcentral